GAUGAACGCUGGCGGUAUGCUUAACACAUGCAAGUCGAACGGUACCUUCGGGUAUAGUGGCGGACGGGUGAGUAACGCGUGAGAAUCUAUCUUCAGGUCGGGGACAACAGUUAGAAAUGACUGCUAAUACCGGAUGUGCCGAAAGGUAAAAGAUUUAUUGCCUGAAAAAGAGCUGGCGUCAGAUUAGCUAGUAGGUGGUGUAAGAGACUACCUAGGCUUCGAUCUGUAGCUGGUCUGAGAGGACGAUCAGCCACACUGGAACUGAGACACGGUCCAGACUCCUACGGGAUGCAGCAGUGGGGAAUUUUCCGCAAUGGGCGAAAGCCUGACGGAGCAAUACCGCGUGAGGGACGAAGGCUCUUGGGUCGUAAACCUCUUUUCUCAAGGAAGAUUCAGACGGUACUUGAGGAAUAAGCAGCGGCUAACUCUGUG
RNAcentral lists this ribosomal RNA (432 nucleotides) under uncultured bacterium. RNAcentral's name for it is "partial 16S ribosomal RNA". It matches the Rfam family "Bacterial small subunit ribosomal RNA", at positions 28 to 507 of the family's 1533-position model. The record is from RNAcentral.